GAUGAACGCUGGCGGCAUGCCUAACACAUGCAAGUCGAACGAACUCUUCGGAGUUAGUGGCGCACGGGUGCGUAACGCGUGGGAAUCUGCCCUUGGGUACGGAAUAACUCAGAGAAAUUUGUGCUAAUACCGUAUAAUGACUUCGGUCCAAAGAUUUAUCGCCCAAGGAUGAGCCCGCGUAAGAUUAGCUAGUUGGUGGGGUAAAAGCCUACCAAGGCGACGAUCUUUAGCUGGUCUGAGAGGAUGAUCAGCCACACUGGGACUGAGACACGGCCCAGACUCCUACGGGAGGCAGCAGUGGGGAAUAUUGGACAAUGGGCGAAAGCCUGAUCCAGCAAUGCCGCGUGAGUGAUGAAGGCCUUAGGGUUGUAAACCGCUUUUGUCAGGGAAGAAACGCUCUGGGCUAAUACCCUGGGGUAAUGACGGUACCUGAAGAAUAAGCACCGGCUAACUACGUGCCAGCAGCCGCGGUAAU
This 475-nucleotide ribosomal RNA is filed under the name uncultured bacterium. RNAcentral describes it as "bacterial SSU rRNA". It matches the Rfam family "Bacterial small subunit ribosomal RNA", at positions 28 to 524 of the family's 1533-position model. The record is from RNAcentral.